This 468-nucleotide ribosomal RNA is filed under the name uncultured bacterium. RNAcentral's name for it is "partial 16S ribosomal RNA". It matches the Rfam family "Bacterial small subunit ribosomal RNA", at positions 28 to 507 of the family's 1533-position model. The record is from RNAcentral.
GACGAACGCUGGCGGCGUGCUUAACACAUGCAAGUCGAACGGAAAGGCCCUGCUUUUGUGGGGUGCUCGAGUGGCGAACGGGUGAGUAACACGUGAGUAACCUGCCCUUGACUUUGGGAUAACUUCAGGAACCUGGGGCUAAUACCGGAUAGGAGCUCCUGCUGCAUGGUGGGGGUUGGAAAGUUUCGGCGGUUGGGGAUGGACUCGCGGCUUAUCAGCUUGUUGGUGGGGUAGUGGCUUACCAAGGCUUUGACGGGUAGCCGGCCUGAGAGGGUGACCGGCCACAUUGGGACUGAGAUACGGCCCAGACUCCUACGGGAGGCAGCAGUGGGGAAUAUUGCACAAUGGGCGGAAGUCUGAUGCAGCAACGCCGCGUGCGGGAUGACGGCCUUCGGGUUGUAAACCGCUUUCGCCUGUGACGAAGCGUGAGUGACGGUAAUGGGUAAAGAAGCACCGGCUAACUACGUG